RNAcentral lists this ribosomal RNA (719 nucleotides) under uncultured Planctomycetota bacterium. Its description in RNAcentral is "bacterial SSU rRNA". It matches the Rfam family "Bacterial small subunit ribosomal RNA", at positions 99 to 829 of the family's 1533-position model. The record is from RNAcentral. Lineage: Bacteria; Pseudomonadati; Planctomycetota.
CGAAAGGGAGAGGAAUACGUAGAAAUCUACCCCUGAGACCGGGAUAGCGUCGGGAAACUGGCAGUAAUACCGGAUAAUGUCUUAGGACCAAAGGUGUGAUUCCACUUGGGGAUGAGUCUACGCCCUAUUAGCUAGNUGGUGGGGUAAUGGCCUACCAAGGCGAUGAUGGGUAGCGGGUGUGAGAGCAUGAUCCGCCUCACUGGGACUGAGAACUGCCCAGACACCUACGGGUGGCUGCAGUCGAGAAUCUUUGUCAAUGGACGAAAGUCUGAACAAGCGACGCCGCGUGCGGGAUGAAGGCCUUCGGGUUGUAAACCGCUGUCGUAGGGGAACAAAUGUACGGGGGUACUCCCCUGUAUUUGAGUGAUCCUUGGAGGAAGGAGAGGCUAAGCUCGUGCCAGCAGCCGCGGUAAGACGAGCUCUCCAAACGUUAUUCGGUAUCACUGGGCUUAAAGAGUUCGUAGGCGGCCUGACAGGUCAGGUGUGAAAUCCCUCGGCUCAACCGAGGAAUUGCGCUUGAAACCGUCAGGCUUGAGGGAGAUAGAGGUGAGCGGAACAGAUGGUGGAGCGGUGAAAUGCGUUGAUAUCAUCUGGAACACCGGUGGCGAAAGCGGCUCACUGGAUCUUUUCUGACGCUGAGGAACGAAAGCUAGGGUAGCGAACGGGAUUAGAUACCCCGGUAGUCCUAGCCGUAAACGAUGAGCACUAGUCUGAGGGGA